This 468-nucleotide ribosomal RNA is filed under the name uncultured bacterium. RNAcentral's name for it is "partial 16S ribosomal RNA". It matches the Rfam family "Bacterial small subunit ribosomal RNA", at positions 28 to 507 of the family's 1533-position model. The record is from RNAcentral.
GACGAACGCUGGCGGCGUGCUUAACACAUGCAAGUCGAACGGAAAGGCCCUGCUUUUGUGGGGUGCUCGAGUGGCGAACGGGUGAGUAACACGUGAGUAACCUGCCCUUGACUUUGGGAUAACUUCAGGAAACUGGGGCUAAUACCGGAAAGGAGCUCCUGCUGCAUGGUGGGGGUUGGAAAGUUUCGGCGGUUGGGGAUGGACUCGCGGCUUAUCAGCUUGUUGGUGGGGUAGUGGCUUACCAAGGCUUUGACGGGUAGCCGGCCUGAGAGGGUGACCGGCCACAUUGGGACUGAGAUACGGCCCAGACUCCUACGGGAGGCAGCAGUGGGGAAUAUUGCACAAUGGGCGGAAGCCUGAUGCAGCAACGCCGCGUGCGGGAUGACGGCCUUCGGGUUGUAAACCGCUUUCGCCUGUGACGAAGCGUGAGUGACGGUAAUGUGUAAAGAAGCACCGGCUAACUACGUG